RNAcentral lists this ribosomal RNA (1318 nucleotides) under Triticum aestivum (bread wheat). Its description in RNAcentral is "partial small subunit ribosomal RNA". Lineage: Eukaryota; Viridiplantae; Streptophyta; Magnoliopsida; Poales; Poaceae. The record is from RNAcentral.
UCUAGGUGGCAGAGGACUCCAGGAAUAGGUAGGGUCGAGCACUCCUUCGGAGCCCUCCUCCGCUCAGGAGUAGCGCUCCUUCGGCGCCUUCCUCCUCGAGUUGGCCCGCAGCGGCCUGUCUCUUCCUCCUCUCCGCGCCUACGGACGGUCCCUCCGCCUAGCCGAGCAGAGGCGCCGACCUUUCCCGAGCCACAAUGUUAAUGUUGUACCCCGAAGUUCACAGAUAAUGAUACCUUGUGGUUAUAGGCACGUAAAAUCAAUGCUGAUUCACGGUGUGGUUACUUACACUUACAGACAAGUCCAUUAUUCAUAGUGCUAAUCGUUAAAGCCAAACAGGGGUAUCAGAUACACACAGGGUACAGGAAAGUCGUGGAAGACGAUAAAAGGACGUAAAAAGAAGGGAAGACGACGUCUAAUUUACUGACUUUCGUUUGUUUAUCAAUAAGACCUGAUAAGUCUAAUAGUUCAUGUCAUAUGACGUUGUAUAGUCGAAGAAUUUAAAGACAACGUUGGAUCGUAUAUGGUCGUAUUUUUUCAAAGAAAACGAGUAGUACAUAUAAUACAAGGAGAUUUAGUGCACAUGGUAAAAGUCCAUAAUUAUCACGUCAUGAUGUACUUCCGUUAUACAAUCGUAUAAUCACAGGUAGAACCAAGACCACUUAACUAAACCCUUGAGAACUUUAGACAAAGAACAUAUAACCGGUACUAUUGAGAAGUGGACUGUAAGACGUUACCGAAGGUCGGUCCCAAAAGAACAACGACGAUAAGGAGCACCUAUAAGUUCUCCGUUGAACCGUGGAUUACAGUUGUCGUACGAAUAACCACUGCUCACUUUACUUUCUUCCGACGUUACCUUAAACAUAAUCCGUAGACAAGAAGUUUACUCCGAGGUUGUACUCGUUCCCGUACCAAACGUCUACUACAUAGAUGAAAUACACACAGUUUUCUCGGGAGGCUGCGGGUCGGCGACCACAGAGACGGGCUUCUUCCUAGUACCAAGGGGUGGAGAGAUGUUGAGUAUAAUUUUAAAACCAUAUAAGAAAAGAAUGAAAUAAAGGGCACUUGUUUUUCAACCUUGGAUAAGAAUUAAAGGGUAUCACCAAAACUACCAUAAACCAGUCACACAAGGACCGACCUUAACGUACAUAUAGAAUGUAUAAAUUUAACGUUGUUAAUUAUUCCUCUUAUCUUCGUAAACGUAGCAGAUUAUGAAACGGACGGUACGAAUCGCUCUUAAGUUUUAUCACUGGAAACCUAUAGUUAAUACCCAAACAUUAAAACACGGUCCUGGAUUUUCGUAAAAACAGAGUACGAAGCU